ACGGGUGAGUAACACGUGAGUAACCUGCCCCCUUCUUUGGGAUAACGCCCGGAAACGGGUGCUAAUACUGGAUAUUCACUGAUCUUCGCAUGGGGGUUGGUGGAAAGGUUUUUUCUGGUGGGGGAUGGGCUCGCGGCCUAUCAGCUUGUUGGUGGGGUGAUGGCCUACCAAGGCUUUGACGGGUAGCCGGCCUGAGAGGGUGACCGGUCACAUUGGGACUGAGAUACGGCCCAGACUCCUACGGGAGGCAGCAGUGGGGAAUAUUGCACAAUGGGCGAAAGCCUGAUGCAGCGACGCCGCGUGAGGGAUGGAGGCCUUCGGGUUGUAAACCUCUUUCGCUCAUGGUCAAGCCGCAACAUGUGGUUGUGGUGAGGGUAGUGGGUAAAGAAGCGCCGGCUAACUACGUGCCAGCAGCCGCGGUAAUACGUAGGUCCCGAGCGUUGUCCGGAUUUAUUGGGCGUAAAGCGAGCGCAGGCGGUUAGAUAAGUCUGAAGUUAAAGGCUGUGGCUUAACCAUAGUACGCUUUGGAAACUGUUUAACUUGAGUGCAAGAGGGGAGAGUGGAAUUCCAUGUGUAGCGGUGAAAUGCGUAGAUAUAUGGAGGAACACCGGUGGCGAAAGCGGCUCUCUGGCUUGUAACUGACGCUGACGCUCGAAAGCGUGGGGAGCAAACAGGAUUAGAUACCCUGGUAGUCCACGCCGUAAAC
RNAcentral lists this ribosomal RNA (706 nucleotides) under uncultured bacterium. RNAcentral's name for it is "bacterial SSU rRNA". It matches the Rfam family "Bacterial small subunit ribosomal RNA", at positions 102 to 807 of the family's 1533-position model. The record is from RNAcentral.